Molecule: ribosomal RNA, 489 nt
Filed under: uncultured bacterium
Lineage: Bacteria
Description: partial 16S ribosomal RNA
Rfam family: Bacterial small subunit ribosomal RNA
Source: RNAcentral
GAUGAACGCUCGCUACAGGCUUAACACAUGCAAGUCGCGGGGCAGCAUGGGGGUUGCUUGCAAUCCCCGAUGGCGACCGGCGCACGGGUGAGUAACGCGUAUCCAACCUGCCCUUCACCACGGGAUAACCCGGCGAAAGUCGGACUAAUACCGUAUGUUGUCCAUUGACGGCAUCCGAUUUGGACGAAAGGUUUGGCGGUGAAGGAUGGGGAUGCGUCCGAUUAGCUGGACGGCGGGGUGACGGCCCACCGUGGCGACGAUCGGUAGGGGUUCUGAGAGGAAGGUCCCCACACUGGAACUGAGACACGGCCCAGACUCCUACGGGAGGCAGCAGUGAGGAAUAUUGGUCAAUGGGCGUAAGCCUGAACCAGCCAAGUAGCGUGCAGGAUGACGGCCCUAUGGGUUGUAAACUGCUUUUAUGCGGGGAUAAAGUGGCCCACGUGUGGGUUUUUGCAGGUACCGCAUGAAUAAGGACCGGCUAAUUCCGUG